Molecule: transfer RNA, 76 nt
Filed under: Candidatus Brocadiia bacterium
Lineage: Bacteria; Pseudomonadati; Planctomycetota; Candidatus Brocadiia
Description: tRNA-Ala
Rfam family: tRNA
About the family: Transfer RNA (tRNA) molecules are approximately 80 nucleotides in length. Their secondary structure includes four short double-helical elements and three loops (D, anti-codon, and T loops).
Source: RNAcentral
GGGGGAUUAGCUCAAUUGGGAGAGCGUUUGACUGGCAGUCAAAAGGUCGUGGGUUCGAACCCCAUAUCCUCCACCA